UGGGAUAACUCCGGGAAACCGGAGCUAAUACCGGAUAGUUCCUUGAACCGCAUGGUUCAAGGAUGAAAGACGGUUUCGGCUGUCACUUACAGAUGGACCCGCGGCGCAUUAGCUAGUUGGUGGGGUAAUGGCUCACCAAGGCGACGAUGCGUAGCCGACCUGAGAGGGUGAUCGGCCACACUGGGACUGAGACACGGCCCAGACUCCUACGGGAGGCAGCAGUAGGGAAUCUUCCGCAAUGGACGAAAGUCUGACGGAGCAACGCCGCGUGAGUGAUGAAGGUUUUCGGAUCGUAAAGCUCUGUUGUUAGGGAAGAACAAGUGCGAGAGUAACUGCUCGCACCUUGACGGUACCUAACCAGAAAGCCACGGCUAACUACGUGCCAGCAGCCGCGGUAAUACGUAGGUGGCAAGCGUUGUCCGGAAUUAUUGGGCGUAAAGGGCUCGCAGGCGGUUUCUUAAGUCUGAUGUGAAAGCCCCCGGCUCAACCGGGGAGGGUCAUUGGAAACUGGGAAACUUGGAGUGCAGAAGAGGAGAGUGGAAUUCCUACCGUUGUAGUCGGUUGAAAUUGCGUAGAGAUGUGGAGGAACACCAGUGGCGAAGGCGACUCUCUGGUCUGUAACUGACGCUGAGGAGCGAAAGUCGUNGGGGAGUCGAUACAGGAUUAGAUACCCUGGUAGUCCACGCCGUAAACGAUGAGUGCUAAGUGUUAGGGGGUUUCCGCCCCUUAGUGCUGCAGCUAACGCAUUAAGCACUCCGCCUGGGGAGUACGGUCGCAAGACUGAAUUCAAAGGAAUUGACGGGGGCCCGCACAAGCGGUGGAGCAUGUGGUUUAAUUCGAAGCAACGCGAA
RNAcentral lists this ribosomal RNA (851 nucleotides) under Bacillus sp. enrichment culture clone CBMAI_968. RNAcentral's name for it is "bacterial SSU rRNA". It matches the Rfam family "Bacterial small subunit ribosomal RNA", at positions 139 to 965 of the family's 1533-position model. The record is from RNAcentral. Lineage: Bacteria; Bacillati; Bacillota; Bacilli; Caryophanales; Bacillaceae.